RNAcentral lists this non-coding RNA (29 nucleotides) under Rattus norvegicus (Norway rat). Lineage: Eukaryota; Metazoa; Chordata; Mammalia; Rodentia; Muridae. The record is from RNAcentral.
UGAUGAAGGUUUGAUGUUCAUGGUUCUGU